CAGUCGCCACGGUAAUACGGAGGGUGCAAGCGUUAAUCGGAAUUACUGGGCGUAAAGCGCACGCAGGCGGUCUGACAAGUCAGAUGUGAAAUCCCCGGGCUCAACCUGGGAACUGCAUUUGAGACUGUAUAGCUAGAGUACGGUAGAGGGGGAUGGAAUUCCGCGUGUAGCAGUGAAAUGCGUAGAUAUGCGGAGGAACACCGAUGGCGAAGGCAAUCCCCUGGACCUGUACUGACGCCCAUGCACGAAAGCGUGGGGAGCAAACAGGAUUAGAUACCCCUGUAGUCCCUGUCUCUUAUAC
This 301-nucleotide ribosomal RNA is filed under the name uncultured bacterium. RNAcentral describes it as "partial 16S ribosomal RNA". It matches the Rfam family "Bacterial small subunit ribosomal RNA", at positions 509 to 807 of the family's 1533-position model. The record is from RNAcentral.